RNAcentral lists this ribosomal RNA (253 nucleotides) under uncultured bacterium. RNAcentral's name for it is "partial 16S ribosomal RNA". It matches the Rfam family "Bacterial small subunit ribosomal RNA", at positions 524 to 776 of the family's 1533-position model. The record is from RNAcentral.
UACGGGGGGAGCAAGCGUUGUUCGGAUUUACUGGGCGUAAAGGGCGCGUAGGCGGCCGAUCAAGUCGGAGGUGAAAUCCCUCGGCUCAACUGAGGAACUGCCUUCGAUACUGUUCGGCUUGAGUCCUGGAGAGGGUAGCGGAAUUCCCGGUGUAGCGGUGAAAUGCGUAGAGACCGGGAAGAACACCAGUGGCGAAGGCGGCUACCUGGACAGGUACUGACGCUGAAGCGCGAAAGUUAGGGGAGCAAACAGG